RNAcentral lists this ribosomal RNA (194 nucleotides) under Kudoa lateolabracis. RNAcentral's name for it is "partial small subunit ribosomal RNA". The record is from RNAcentral. Lineage: Eukaryota; Metazoa; Cnidaria; Myxozoa; Multivalvulida; Kudoidae.
UCUUGAGGAAAUUUGGUAUCAUGGCGUGGGGAAGUCCUUGACCAUGGGUUGCAAGAUAGGUUGAAAACCUUAUCUUGUAACACUGGAAAGUAAUCGGUGUUUUAUCGGACACUGGUGAACUGGCGACAGAGGACUUUUUGCUCGUCACCUGGGAUGAAAAUCCUGGCAAGUCGAAACUUGAUAGGAAUUGGGGA